CAGGCGCUCUGCCCCGCCGUGGGGUUUUGGGGGUGCUGUGGAGAAGGCAGGGCUCGGGACUCUUCCACCUCCUUGGCUGCUCUGGCCUUUGAGUUAUGCUCUAAGAUUAUCGAUUACUUUUCCGUUGUUGCUUAUUUCCCACAGCAGCAGAAUGAGAACGGUUAUUAGUUAAUAGCCAUCAGAGACAGACCAAGUGGAACACAGUCCUCGGAAAAACGCCACUCUGUAGCAUUAGUAAUUAAAACCUCACAAGGUUUGUAUUUCCUGAAGGAGGCCGUCAGUGUCAAUGCUGUACUAACGACGGUACUGUACAGUGAACCACAAAGUCUGAAAAACUGUUGUUGACGACUUCUCAGUCCUUUAUGUGGAGCUGGGGGCAGGAAGAAUUGCUUCUGGAAGCUGAUGGAGUUGGACAUGUGGCUUUCUAGAAUCUGGAUGUGAUGGUGCAGGAAAAACUCCUGCCCAUUGAGAGGGCUCCGUAAGUGCUUCCCAAAAGAGAAUGAGAAGGAAAAGGAGAUCUCCACAGGAACUGCCUCCUUGGAUCCAGGGCAAAAAUGAACCUCCUAUUGGAGAGAAGUGCCCAGCUUGUCAAGAAGUUGAAUCGGUGCAACCAGCGUUUGUGAAAGCAGCAUUUCCCAUUUCACAUAAAGUCAGCUUCUGGCCAACUGGACAAGUCUGAACAAAUAUGAAACCCACUAAAAGGCCAGUGACAGGUGCACACACUACUGACUCUGGCUAGAGGCUGUGGCAGGAAUUGGACUCAUGUCAUCCAGCGACAGUUCCACCAGCAUCUCUUGUGGCUUCCCAAGGACCAGCCUGAGGCAAACUCCUCAGUGGUGUGAAGACUUUCCAUGUCACUGGAAACCCACCACAGAGUUCUACCAAGUAACCAUGCCUCCACCAGUCCACAACAAACUUUUAAGGCCUCUCCAGUUAUGCCUGCAACCAUCCCACAUUAGCAACCUAAGUAGGCCACCAGUAGAGCUGGUCAAGAGAAAGGAUAGGUUCAAUUAAUUAUUUUUUAAUUAAAAAAAAAUAGAGACAGGGUCUUGUUAUGUUGCCGAGGCUGGUCUUGUACU
This 1079-nucleotide long non-coding RNA is filed under the name Homo sapiens (human). Its description in RNAcentral is "HSALNT0335592". Lineage: Eukaryota; Metazoa; Chordata; Mammalia; Primates; Hominidae. The record is from RNAcentral.